Molecule: non-coding RNA, 739 nt
Organism: Callithrix jacchus (white-tufted-ear marmoset)
Lineage: Eukaryota; Metazoa; Chordata; Mammalia; Primates; Cebidae
Source: RefSeq, a predicted model, not a curated record
GCUGUUGAGAAGCAAAGGAAAAAUGAUGCUACCACAAGGGAGAAACCCGUCUGAAGACCACUGCUUCAUUAAACCCAAGUGCUAUUUAGAAUCAUAAUGUUACUAGCGACCGCAGUUUACUGGGCAUUUACUCUCAGGAACACCUCCAACUCCUGUGAUCACAGAGCCAUCGGCUUCUGUCCUCACCAUUCUGGACUGGAUCCCCAGAAUACACAUUCUUGGGACUAAAUUGACCAGCCCAGAAGGGGCCAGCAGAACUCCUAACACCCUGGAUAUCUACGAUUGUGGUUCUACAACCAACCUUAGAUCAGCUAGAAAUCCCAGAAUGAAAUCACCAGGAAUCACGGAAUAUGACCACAAGCCCCGUGGGAGACACUUCAGUCAGGCCUAGUUAGGCUGGAAUAAUGACAUCAAAAGGAUAUAGUCUCCACUGACACAUUGUUCCAAUUUUUCUGGUCGUUUUUAACAUUUUCUCUCUUUCAUGUUACUUGUGGCCAUAAAAAACCAUUGAUUCUAUUUUGAAUGUAUCCAGUUUAGACUUUUUCUUGAGUGGCUUUUUUAAAAACCAGAAUAUGACUAACACAGCAAGCAGAGUCUGAGACACUGUCCUAUGAGAAUGAGAAUAUCACACAUACGCAUGUGACACGAGGAUCACUGCUUCUCAAGAAACAGGACAGGCAUGUGUGGAACAGGAGGGAAAUGGAAGCAGGCACCUGAUGGCCUUGGAAGCAUUGAUGAU